Molecule: long non-coding RNA, 4000 nt
Organism: Meriones unguiculatus (Mongolian gerbil)
Lineage: Eukaryota; Metazoa; Chordata; Mammalia; Rodentia; Muridae
Exons: 2
Source: RefSeq, a predicted model, not a curated record
CAACGGAGCCCUCCCUGAGCCCAGCAGCGGGCCCGGGCCGCUCGGGGGCCGCCGCCAUCUUGCUGCGCGCGAAAUGGCCGCCGCACGCCCCGCGGGUUGCAAGAUGGAGCCGAGGGCUGGGGCCCACCCGUUCCGCCCCUGCAGGGACGACCGCCCGCCGUCCUCCCGGCCCAGUACACGUAUUUGAAUGCACGUAUUCGAAAUCCUAAGCGCCCCCUCGUGAGCCGCCAUUGCACGGCCUAAAAGCGGUUGUCGUCUGGGGACCGAACGUUCCAAACUCAUUCGCGCUUUGCUGGUGCAUCUGAAGUACUCUUGGCAAAUGCACCGUCCUUGGGAAAACUCGAGAAACGCGGCCCCCAAGCUCUAUUUUUAACUCCCCGGGGGACUACUUUUCUCCCCCCCUCCACGGCGGCGGAGGGACACCGGGUUCCUGUGGCGUGAUUCGUCCCUUCGCAAUAAAUGCGGGCGCCCGGGGCCCGGCGGCAGGCAGUCAGGCAGCGAGGGCGCAGGCGGCGAGCGGGGCUACGGGGAGGCGGUCGCAGAUAAGUUCCUGCUUAAAAAGACGAAGGAAUUUUAAAACUUAGUUCUCUAAACUUAAACCGGCCAGAGUAGCCUGUCUAGAUUAAAAUGCUCGGUGUUAAAACCUUAAAGUAGCUUCUUUAACUUAAAAAAAAUUCGAAGAGGAAAUACGAAGGCCUGUUUAAGGAGGUUAGGAAAGGAAAAGGAAAUAUUUAUACAGUCUGAUGGAGGUUGAUAACGAAGCUUUUAUGCGGAGUAGUUUAAAAAGAUCGUAAAGGGAGGGAUUGCGGAGUCUUUAAAAAAUCUAGUUUGAAGGUCAAACUUAGACUAAACGAAGGUUAAACAGAAUCUAAAUGCCAUUUAAAAAACAAACAGUAAAGUUAAAGAGAAUAGCUUGAAAACGAAGUGUAGCCUAAAAAGAUUGUAAAAAUAGGAUAAAUUUAAAAUAGUUAUUAAAACCCUUCGUUUGAUGGCGCAGAAAAGAUUGCGUCAUUUAAAGCAUUUGAGUUGGAAACGGAAGAUAGUGUGGUAGCUUAGUAUUUGGAGAAAGAAGAUUAGAAAUUGGAAGUGGAAAACGAAGACAAUUACAGGAAGGUGAAGAAAAGCUGUAGAGAAGAUAGGAAAAUAGAAGACGAAGCAUCUUUAGAAGACAGAAAAGGUAUUUAAACGCUCAAGGUAGGAAGCAGAAGAAAACUAGAAGAUAGAAGCAAGAUAGAAAAACAAGCUAAGACAACUUUGGAUGCACAGAAUUCAAAAUAGGCAAAGAAGACGGAGACGAAAAGGUUGCAUGAGAUAAAAAGUCUAAAAUAAGAAAGAAAUUAUCUUUAAAGCCAUAAAUUUAAAUUUCUGACGGAGCAGUUUUUAGAAGAGUCUGAUGUAGACAGCCACUUUACAACAGUCAAACUAGAAAUCAAGGCUGCUAGGACUGAAAUUAAAUGAAAAGUUAAGGCAGAAUGUGUUUGAAGAGUUAGAAGAAUUUUAAAGGCCUUAACUUGUAUCUUAAUGUUUGAAAACCAUACGGACUUUUGCUAAAAUUUGAAGAGUAUCAGCAUUUUGCAUUGGACUUUGAGCUGAGGUGCAUUUAAAAACCCUAAGGACUAGCAUUGGCAGCUGAUUGAGGUCAACGCAGAAGUGGAUUCAGUGAGCCUAGGAAGACAGGAGCAGCAGACAGGAGCCCGAAGCCAGUUUGGUGAAGCUAGGAAGGACGGAGGAGCCAGCAGCAGCAGUGCUUGGUGAAGAUAGGAGUCCAGGAAACGGUGCGGUUCGGUGGAGGAAGCUAGGAAGAAGCCAUUACCAUGUGGUGGUGAAGCUAGGAAAGAGGAUUCCAGGAAGGUGGUGAUGAAGCUAGCUGGCGGCUUGGCUUGUCAACUGCGCGGAGGAGGCGAUCAGGCAUUGUGGAGAAUAGAUAGCGGCUCCUAGACCAGCAUGCCAGUGUGCAAGAAAGGCUGCAGGGAGAGCAUGUGGUGCGGUAACAUUCCGUGAGGUCGGCAACCGGUGUUUUUCUGUAACUUGAGGAUGACUUUCCACAGAUGCUAUAGUUGUAUUGGCACACUGGGGUAGAGAAGGCGUGUACUGCUAUGCCGUUGGCACGACACCUUCAGGGACUGGAGCUGCCUUCUAUCCUUGGAGGAGUGUCCCCAGUGCAGCUGAAGUGCAGCACAGUGCGCCUUUGUUUCACAGUCCUUCAGGAGAGCCUCAGGAGCUUGACUAGGCCAGAUGUUGAAGUUAAGUCCAAGCACCAUGACUUACUAUUGCAUUAAAAGGGGAGGGGCAAAACUUAGUUGGCCAUGGCCUCUUGUGUGGGUGGGUGGGUGGGGUAGGUAAUUGUUUAGUUUAUGAUUUCAGAUAAUCAUACCAGAGAACUUAAAUAUUUGGAAAAACUGAGGAAAUCUCAGCUUUCAAGUUGGCAAGUAACUCCCAAUUCUCCAGUUUUUGUUUCCAAUUUUUGGUUUGGAGAGCCGAGGAAGAUUGCCCUGGGUUUACACCACCAGCCCAUUAACUUGGGCAAGGAAAGUAAACAGUUGUCUGUUCCCUGGAAAAAUGUGUAGGGCUGGGGGUUGGUCUGGUCCACUGGAAUGAUAAGAAAGCUACAGUGUUGGGAUUUUUUUUAAGCUACUGGAUGUAGAUUGUAGUGUGGUUCUCUCUUGAAAUUUUUUUCAGGUGACUUAAUGUAUCUUAAUAACUACUAUAGGAACUUCAGAGCAAAGGAAGUGGCUUAAUGACCCUGAAGGGAUUUCUUCUGGUGAUAGCUUUUAUAUUAUCAAGUAAGAGAUUUCAUCUCAGUUGUGUAUAAGCAAGUCUUUUUCCUAGCGUAGGAGAAAUGCUUUUCCUUUGUGUGACUAUCUAAACAAGCUGUAAAGGUAUGAUUUUUUUUUUGUGCAUUGUAUGCUUUAUAUUUGUUUGUAAUUCAUAAUCUAAGAAUUGUGAUAGUUAGCCUGAAUGUCUUUAGAGGGUGGGCUUCUGUUGAUGAGGGAGGGGAAACCUUUUUUUUCUGUAGACUUUUUUCAGAUAACACCAUCUGAGUCAUAACCAGCCUGGCAGUAUGAUGACCUAGAUGCAGAGAGAACAGCUCCUUGGUGAAUGAUAAGUAAAGGCAGAAAAAAAGAUAAUGUCAUGUCUCCAUUGGGGAAUGAGCAUGAGCCCGAGAUUCUUACUGCUGAUGAAAAGUGUCUGCAAUAUGCAAAAAAUUAAGCAAAUGAAAGCAACCAGGAUAAAGUUAUGGAAAUCUACCAUUUAAAAAAAGUUAAUGGUUUAUCAAGCUUUAUCCACAAAAGUAAAGAAUUGAUGAAAACAAUGAAGAUCAAAUGUCCAUCUCAAAACACUGCUUUUACAAAAGCAGAAUAAAAAAUGAAAUGAAAAUGCUACAUUAAUCCUGGAGUAAAAAGAAGCUGAAAAUUUUGAGAUGAGUGGGAUCAAGUGGAUUCAGAGGAGGCUGUGCAGUGUGCCAAUCUUUCGCUUGCCUCAGACAGGUUCUCUUCAUAAUCAGAAGUUGCUUCAUUCCAUCUCGGAGCAGGGACAGCAGACUGCUGUUAACAGAUAAGUUUUAACUUGAUCUGCAGUGUUGCAUGUUAGGGAUAAGUGGUUAUUUUGUAAGGGUUGUUGGAGGUAUUGGCUAUGUCACCUACCUGGCCCCUUCCUUAGGGGAUUUCAGGGUUGUAAGCAGGUUUUCCGUCUAACCUUUAAAAAUUCUAGGCCUUGUGCCAGUGCACUUGUACGACGGGAUAGUAGGUGACAGGCUUUUGCAUUGUAAAUAAUUUCAUCACAAAAGCCUCACGAUUAAGUGCCUGCUCUGAUCACAUUGCUAAGGAAUCUAUCAUUUACAUCUCUGAAGACCCUGUGAAAGGGACAUAGCAUUUCAUCAUAUCAUGUGCUGAAAGUUAGGUAUGUUCAUCUUGCAAAAAUUUAAAUGUGUUCACUGUACUUGUGCUUAAAACCAUUAAAUCAUACAAAUUAAUAAUAAAGUACUUCAGUAGAGAAUGUA